GUAAUCCUGGAACUGUGGCACCCGUCUGGCAAGGAGAGAAGAGGUCAAUGUCAGCAACGGCUUACCGCGCCUCUGAGCUUCUCGAGUGUGCAGAAGACAGAUCCGGGUUCGCUUAAGCUACAGCUGGAAUGGCCGAAUCCUGGGUGUGAACAGAGGCAAGAGUCUGUGAUUGAGAGUGUGCGUCCACAGCCUGCUGUGCGACCCUGGGCAAAUCACUUGACGUCUCUGGGCCUCAGUUGCUCCAUAUGACGAUGCUGCUUCACGAAGCUUCUCUGCCUUGGCGGCUUCUCAGCACACUCAGGGGAGAAGCCACAUGCUAACCAUGGUCCAUGGGGGUCUACGAAGCCCACCCACUUCUGUCUCUUCGUCUCACACCUCUCUUCUUGUUCCCAAGGUGCCACAAACAGCUAAUCUUCCUUCAGUUUUGUUUUGUUUUGUUUUUUACUAUGUUACUCUGUCUCCCACCCCAGGGCCUUUGCCUAUGCUGUUUCCGCUACCCAACGGUUGGUCCGGCCUUCUUUCUCCUUCAUUAGACCCAGCUUCAGGAUCAUCCCCGAUAAGAGAUGGGGGUGUGCAGCCCACAUCCUUUCCUGUUUGUACUUCUUGGGGUGGUAGCACCCCAAAUUCCCUCUGUGGAAGCAUCCCUCCCACACUCCACGGAGCUCACACGGGGAAGCCACGCCAGGUCCAACAAAUAGAAAGCUGUGAAAGUCUUUCCUUUAGUUUUCCCUGGGGAAGAGCCCUUCAGGCCUCCUAGCAAUGGGGUGGGAAUAGUGGCAUCGUGGCCACACAGGCGGAGCGCUGAGGAAUAAAUGUGACCUUGUGCCCAGGCUUCCAGUAGCUCCUCACACACCCACACCUUCCUGUAACUGAUCCCGAGCCUCCUGGCACCUGCACACGGAAGCUGAGCCCCUUUCGACGGAUCUGACACCCGCAGGCCCCUGUGGGGCGGCCGCCUCCGCUCCGCAAGGCCAGCCCCUCUCAACGUUCAGUUUGCCCUCAGCCUCCAGUGGGUGGCUCCUCUCCCACCCCCUUUGUCCUUCUUGCCAUUUCCCUGGAGGUGGAGAGAGGAGAGCCGACUUAAGGAGAAUGACUGCCCAUCACCACAUCCAGCCAGAGGUUGGUCCCCCAGAAGCGCUCGGUCUUCUCCUCUCGGGAGGUGACCACAACCUUUUCCCGCUGUCCUCGGACCUCCUCCCUCAUCCCCUCCCUGCUCAGACCCAGGAAGUGACCUCAUGUGCUCCAGUCUCCAGAGGGAAGACCAAUAACCACCCUCCAUUUCCGGCCACUUUCUGCAAGCCAGGAACACCAACUCUGCUUAAUCUACGUGGGAAGGAUUUUACUGAAAGGAUGUUGAGUAGCUCACGGGUUCUACAGCGAGACUGCAGGGCAACAGUUCGUCUUAGAGGAGCCAAAACCAGUGCCUGGUCAAGGGACAGAGCCGGCGCCGACUCUGGGCACAGACACUGCUGUUUCCAUCACUAACCCUUCCGGUCCUGGGUCUCGGACACUUCUGCUGAAAUCACAGACGAUGCGUCGUUACCACGCCCACCAGAAUGCUGUCGCUAUAGGACCUGCUUCUUUUUUUUUUUUAAUUUUUUUUUACGUUUAUUUAUUUUUGAGACAGA
Molecule: long non-coding RNA, 1628 nt
Organism: Herpailurus yagouaroundi (jaguarundi)
Lineage: Eukaryota; Metazoa; Chordata; Mammalia; Carnivora; Felidae
Exons: 3
Source: RefSeq, a predicted model, not a curated record